Long non-coding RNA from Thunnus maccoyii (southern bluefin tuna), 1607 nucleotides. RefSeq lists it as uncharacterized. The transcript has 3 exons. Lineage: Eukaryota; Metazoa; Chordata; Actinopteri; Scombriformes; Scombridae. The record is from RefSeq and is a predicted model, not a curated record.
AUUACUACAUGAUGACAUAACUUUGACAAAACAAAGUCAACUGAUUUUAAGACCAUAGAUCACACAUCAUACUAGAAUUAAUUGAAGCAAUUAGCACUUUUACCGCAUUCACUCCCCUUAUUGGUACAUCCCAGUUACCAUACCUUGAAUAAUACUUCCAUCUCCAAGGCACAUCUGGUGUUCACUAUGACCAUCCAAUGAUGAAAUCCUCCAUGAUGUGGUGUGUGUGUUUUGCGGUUAAAAGUGUAGCAGACCUGUAAAGCUGCAAUGCUCAUCAACAGAAGACACAUUUUGCUGGAUAGAUGCUAUGUUAGCAUUAGGCUAAAAGAGCAGCUUGGACCUGUUUAUCAAAGGUCACCAACUGUCAUUGGGUUUUUACCUCUGGGAACCAUGAAUGUCUAAACUGUAUCAGAUUUUAUAAGAAUCUACAUGAAAAGUUGUUGAAAUUUUUCCCUCUGAACCAAAGUGGUGGACCAACAGACCAACAGAUCAGUGGUUCCCAACCUGGGGGCCAUGAGCCUCUGAGGGGUCCCCAGAUAAGCCCAAGAGAUUGUACCCAAGAAUCAUUCAAACUGAAGACAUGAGGAGGAAAAAAUCAGUCUUUGACCUGCUCACAACUUAAAAACAUAAAGAUGGUUGCAUUGCUCUGUUUUCAUGGCUUGCAAGGAACCAUUGUUGUAGAAGUUCAGUGCUUGGUCUUCACUUCCCUUCAACUUUUGGGAAGCACCGGUUGCUCUUUUGUUAUGUAUAUAUGAAACUGGCUUAUUUUUUUGUUACCAGCUAGUUCUCAAAUCAUGUCUCUGUUUACAGCGUUUCUUCUAUUACAGCACAGACUUGAAUCUGCCAGACUGUAUAAGCAGUAUAUUAAAUUCAGCAGUGUUCAGUCUGACAAUAAUGGCAGGUUGACAUGUCUCUAAAACUCUGGCUGUCCAGUCAACAAGUUACUUGUCAGUCAUGUGAGUUUUGUUUACAAGCCCCCAUGUGCUUGUAAAAUACUUGGUGUGAAAGAGCAAAAAAAUAAACACACAGCUCUCAACUCCAACCUGCAGCCCACUGAGUCUGAACUUCAUUUCAUAAUAUCACCACAAGCUGUUUUAUAUUUACAAAUGAAGAAUUGAGAGUCACUCCUGACUCUUAAUUUCCUCCCGCUCAUUUCUUGUUUUGUUGUGGAGGAAUUGAAGGCAGCAGACAACUCUGCAGUGAGUCAGUCCAGUAUCUGCAGCUCUAAGGAGGGAAGUACAGGCUUUUCCAAAACUGUGUGCAUCUAUUUUGGACUUAAAACAAAACAAAGACAAAAUCAUUACGCAAAGUUCUUCAUUCAGUAUCCUUUAAAUAUAAAGGAUUUAGUCUGUACAAAUGUCUGUCAGACUGUGGUCAGACUGCUGACCAAUCUGUUAAAUCAGAGCCUUGUUGCACAUUUGGGGGUUUCCAGACAAGUCUCAAGUACAUGUCCAAGUCACAUUUCCUCUAUUUAUGAGAAAAUUGUACGUCAAAUCUUUCAAGUAUGCUGUUAAAUGACUGAGAUUUAGAGAUAUCACUCCAAAAUCCAUGCCCAAACCCCUGCACCACCUGAUGCCCUGCAGUGGACAAUGGCUAAACCUUAGAUA